RNAcentral lists this unclassified non-coding RNA (243 nucleotides) under uncultured Russula. Its description in RNAcentral is "sequence contains ITS2". The record is from RNAcentral. Lineage: Eukaryota; Fungi; Basidiomycota; Agaricomycetes; Russulales; Russulaceae.
AAUUCUCAAAACCCUUCCUUUUUGGAAGGAUUUUGGACUUGGAGGCCUUUUGCUGGUUUCGCCUUGAAGCGAGCUCCUCCUAAAUGUAUUAGUGGGGUCUGCAUUGUCGGUCCUUGGCGUGAUAAGUUGUUUCUACGUCUUGGAUUUUUGGCGCUGUACACCUGCUUCUAACUGUCUCAUCGACAAUGAUGGUGUUCCGGUCACCGCCGAUUUUUCGGUGAGCGGCUUGACCCACAAAACGAA